GUGAUGAAGAGCCCCCAUUGUCGUCGUCGUCAUCAUCAUCGUCGUCAUCAUCAUUGUCGUCUUCAUCAUUGUCGUCGUCGUCAUCUUCGGAAGAACCCCGUCAUCGUCAUCGUCAACGUUGGAAGAGCUCCAUCAUCAUCGUCGUCAUCGUUAAAGUCAACGUUAUGAAGAGCCCGCCAUUAUUGACACCGUCGGAAGAGCCCCGUCGUCAUCGUCACCGUGAUGAAGAGCCCCCAUUGUCAUCGUCAUCAUCAUCAUCAUUGUCAACGUUGGAAGAACCCCAACAUCGUCAUCGUCACCGGUGGAAGAGCUCCGUCGUCAUCGUUGUCAUUGUUAAAGUCAACUUUAUGAAGAGCCCGCCAUUAUUGUCACUGUCGGAAGAGCCCCGUUGUCAUCGUCACCAUGAUGAAGAGCCCCCACUGUCAUCAUCAUCAUCAUCAUCAUCAUCGUCAACGUUGGAAGAACCCCGUCAUCGUCAUCGUCACCGGUGGAAGAGCCCCGUCGUCAUCGUCACCGUGAUGAAGAGCCCCCAUUGUCAUCGUCAACGUUGGAAGAGCCUUCGUCAUCGUCAUCGUUAUUGUCACAAGUGGAAGAGCCAUCGCCAUCAUCGUCACCUCGAUGAAGAGCCCCAUCUUCAUCUUCAUCUUCAUCUUCAUCUUCAUCUUCAUCUUCAUCUUCAUCUUCAUCUUCAUCAUCAACAUUACGAAGAGCCCCCGUUGUCAUCGGCACCCUUGGGAGAGCCAUCAUCAUCAUCAUCGUCAUCAUCGUCAUCAUCAUCAUCGUCACAGUUGGAAGAGCCAUCUUCAUCAUCAUCAUCAUCAUCGGGAAGAGCCUUCGUUGUCAUCGUGGGAAGAGCCUUCAUCGUCAUUUUCAUCAUCAUCAUCAUCAUCAUCUUCAUCAUCGUCGUCACCGCUGCGAAGAGCCCCCGUGGUCCUCACGCUCUUCAUCCUCACUGCCACCAUCCUCUUCCUCCUCAUCAUCACCGUUGCCUUCCUCUUCCUCCUCCUCCUCCUCCUCUUCUUCCUCCUCUUCCUCACCGUUUUCCUCAUCUUCCUCCUCGUCAUCACCACCACCACCGUCCUCCUCCUCCUCACCUUCAUCUUCGUCACCAUCAUCACCUUCCUCCUCCUCCUCCUCACCUUCAUCUUUGUCACCAUCAUCACCGCCACCUUCUUCCUCCUCCUCCUCCUCCUCC
RNAcentral lists this long non-coding RNA (1195 nucleotides) under Anser cygnoides (Swan goose). Its description in RNAcentral is "lncRNA (ENSACDG00005008500.1)". The record is from RNAcentral. Lineage: Eukaryota; Metazoa; Chordata; Aves; Anseriformes; Anatidae.